UACGUAGGUGGCAAGCGUUGUCCGGAAUUACUGGGCGUAAAGCGUGCGCAGGCGGUUAUGUAAGACAGUUGUGAAAUCCCCGGGCUCAACCUGGGAACUGCAUCUGUGACUGCAUAGCUAGAGUACGGUAGAGGGGGAUGGAAUUCCGCGUGUAGCAGUGAAAUGCGUAGAUAUGCGGAGGAACACCGAUGGCGAAGGCAAUCCCCUGGACCUGUACUGACGCUCAUGCACGAAAGCGUGGGGAGCAAACAGG
Molecule: ribosomal RNA, 253 nt
Filed under: uncultured bacterium
Lineage: Bacteria
Description: partial 16S ribosomal RNA
Rfam family: Bacterial small subunit ribosomal RNA
Source: RNAcentral